RNAcentral lists this ribosomal RNA (426 nucleotides) under uncultured bacterium. RNAcentral describes it as "bacterial SSU rRNA". It matches the Rfam family "Bacterial small subunit ribosomal RNA", at positions 355 to 773 of the family's 1533-position model. The record is from RNAcentral.
UGGGGAAUAUUGGACAAUGGGCGCAAGCCUGAUCCAGCAACGCCGCGUGGAGGAUGAAGGUCUUCGGAUCGUAAACUCCUGUCAGACGGGACGAAGGUAGCGGGGCAAAUAGUCUCGCUGCUUGACGGUACCGUCAGAGGAAGCCCCGGCUAACUCCGUGCCAGCAGCCGCGGUAAUACGUAGGGUGCGAGCGUUGUCCGGAAUUAUUGGGCGUAAAGGGCUCGUAGGCGGUUUGUCACGUCGGGAGUGAAAACUCGGGGCUCAACCCCGAGCCUGCUUCCGAUACGGGCAGACUAGAGGUAUGCAGGGGAGAACGGAAUUCCUGGUGUAGCGGUGAAAUGCGCAGAUAUCAGGAGGAACACCGGUGGCGAAGGCGGUUCUCUGGGCAUUACCUGACGCUGAGGAGCGAAAGUGUGGGGAGCGAAC